This 382-nucleotide unclassified non-coding RNA is filed under the name uncultured bacterium. RNAcentral's name for it is "contains 16S-23S intergenic spacer region". The record is from RNAcentral.
UCCGGUUUGUCACCGGCAGUCUCCCAUGAGUCCCCAACUAAAUGGUAGCAACUAAGGACGGGGGUUGCGCUCGUUGCGGGACUUCACCCAACAUCUCACGACACGAGCUGACGACAGCCAUGCAGCACCUGUCUCCGGUCCAGCCGAACUGAAGGACUCCGUCUCUGGAAUCCGCGACCGGGAUGUCAAGGGCUGGUAAGGUUCUGCGCGUUGCGUCGAAUUAAACCACAUGCUCCACCGCUUGUGCGGGCCCCCGUCAAUUCCUUUGAGUUUCAGCCUUGCGGCCGUACUCCCCAGGCGGGGCACUUAAUGCGUUAGCUACGGCACGGAACCCGUUGAUAAGGCCCCACACCUAGUGCCCAACGUUUACGGCGUGGACUAC